This 649-nucleotide ribosomal RNA is filed under the name Porina rosei. RNAcentral describes it as "SSU rRNA". It matches the Rfam family "Bacterial small subunit ribosomal RNA", at positions 370 to 998 of the family's 1533-position model. The record is from RNAcentral. Lineage: Eukaryota; Fungi; Ascomycota; Lecanoromycetes; Ostropales; Porinaceae.
AAUAGCCUAACGGCUGAACCAGCAACUUGGAAGAACGAAAGGCUUAUUGCCGAUGUAAUUUUUAAUAAUUGCAAUAGUAACUCCGUUACAUAAAGUUCUAGGCAAGUAUUUGAUAAUGACAUAACUUGUCUAUAAGUCUUGACUAAGUCACGUGCCAGCAGUCGCGGUAAUACGUGGAAGACAAGCGUUAUUCAUCUUUAAUAGGUUUAAAGGGUACCUAGACAGUUAAUAAAGCCCAACAGGGGACUAAUUACACUAGAGUUUUAUAUGAGAAGGGGAGAACGGUGUGUGGAAAGAUGAAAUUUAUUGAUACCACUUAGAGACUGUCAACAGCGAAGGCAACCUUUUAUGUCAAAACUGACGUUGAGGGACGAAGGCCCACUAUAGAGAACAGGAUUAGAGACCCUAGUAUUCAGGGCAGAAAAUGAUGAGUGUCAUAUAUAAGUAUUGUAAUACUGCUAAUGUAUUAAAAAAAGUAGUAUUUUAUGUAUUUAUAUAUAAACGAAAGUGUAAGCACUCCACCUCACGAGUAACAUGGCAACAUAGGAACUGAAAUCAUUAGACCGUUUCUGAAACCAGUAGUGAAGUAUGUUGUUUAAUUUGAUAAUCCACAAAGAACCUUACCACCAAUAUUAUAUGUAUAUAUUUC